GCCAUUGUUUCUCUGUGUGAUCCAAAGAAAACCUGCAUCCCAAUCUCAUGCUGGAUUUGUUCAAUAUGGAUCCUGAGUCUCAUCCAAACCCAAUGAGUCAGAAUGUCUAGGAUUGGGGCACAGAGAUCUGCAUUUUGAACAAAGCUGAUCCCCCAUCCCAAGAUUCUUCUGCACCCUGGAGUGUGAGAACUGUGGUUCUAGUCAGUACACUUGAUGUCAAGAUGUUGCAAAUGCCCUUGUCUAGAUGAAGACUUUACCAUACUACAUUAAGGGUCUGCAAGAGAAAACCCAGCCAAGGAUUCUCAGAACAACCUGAGCAAUUUUCCUAUCCUGUCUCUUCUGAUGAAGGCUCCUACUGCUUCUUAUGAGAUGUUCACUAAGCAUUGAUGGAAAUGGAGAGAAGUUUCAAAGGGAAGAGAGCUCAGAUUUGGGCUAUGGGACAAAUGUGGAAGGAGGAAGAAGGAAAUGAAAGGUGGAGUGUGGACAGAGUGGUGACUCUUGGAAAGGAAGACCUGAGGGAG
RNAcentral lists this non-coding RNA (521 nucleotides) under Pan troglodytes (chimpanzee). Lineage: Eukaryota; Metazoa; Chordata; Mammalia; Primates; Hominidae. The record is from RNAcentral.